GCCCAGAUGGCGAAAUUGGUAGACGCGCCAGGUUCAGGUCCUGGUGGUGGAAACACUGUGGAGGUUCGAGUCCUCUUCUGGGCACCA
This 87-nucleotide transfer RNA is filed under the name Methylobacillus sp. RNAcentral's name for it is "tRNA-Leu". It matches the Rfam family "tRNA". From Rfam's summary of the family: Transfer RNA (tRNA) molecules are approximately 80 nucleotides in length. The record is from RNAcentral. Lineage: Bacteria; Pseudomonadati; Pseudomonadota; Betaproteobacteria; Nitrosomonadales; Methylophilaceae.